GUAAAUAUAGCUUAUUUAAAGCAUUGAUUUUGUAAAUCAAAGAUGAUCUUACUAUUUAUA
RNAcentral lists this transfer RNA (60 nucleotides) under Camaena cicatricosa. RNAcentral describes it as "tRNA-Thr". It matches the Rfam family "tRNA". Rfam says of the family: Transfer RNA (tRNA) molecules are approximately 80 nucleotides in length. Their secondary structure includes four short double-helical elements and three loops (D, anti-codon, and T loops). Further hydrogen bonds mediate the characteristic L-shaped molecular structure. tRNAs have two regions of fundamental functional importance: the anti-codon, which is responsible for specific mRNA codon recognition, and the 3' end, to which the tRNAs corresponding amino acid is attached (by aminoacyl-tRNA synthetases). tRNAs cope with the degeneracy of the genetic code in two manners: having more than one tRNA (with a specific anti-codon) for a particular amino acid; and 'wobble' base-pairing, i.e. permitting non-standard base-pairing at the 3rd anti-codon position. Lineage: Eukaryota; Metazoa; Mollusca; Gastropoda; Stylommatophora; Camaenidae. The record is from RNAcentral.